This 114-nucleotide non-coding RNA is filed under the name Halomonadaceae bacterium. RNAcentral describes it as "TPP sequence". It matches the Rfam family "TPP riboswitch aptamer (THI element)". From Rfam's summary of the family: Vitamin B(1) in its active form thiamin pyrophosphate (TPP) is an essential coenzyme that is synthesised by coupling of pyrimidine and thiazole moieties in bacteria. The previously detected thiamin-regulatory element, thi box was extended, resulting in a new, highly conserved RNA secondary structure, the THI element, which is widely distributed in eubacteria and also occurs in some archaea. Analysis of operon structures identified a large number of new candidate thiamin-regulated genes, mostly transporters, in various prokaryotic organisms. The record is from RNAcentral. Lineage: Bacteria; Pseudomonadati; Pseudomonadota; Gammaproteobacteria; Oceanospirillales; Halomonadaceae.
CAACGUCGCCAGGGGAGCCCCGCUCGAUCGGGGCUGAGAGUGUGCCGGCCGCGGCGCAGACCCUGGAACCUGAUCCGGUCAAUACCGGCGGAGGAAGUGCGACAUGUAUCUUGC